Molecule: long non-coding RNA, 333 nt
Filed under: Androctonus crassicauda
Lineage: Eukaryota; Metazoa; Arthropoda; Arachnida; Scorpiones; Buthidae
Source: RNAcentral
CAAUAGCUUAGUGUCUUAGAGAGGGGUAUGAUGAUUGGAUGUCACAUUUCAGGCUUGUCAAUAUGGAACAUUGUUGCCACAUUAAGUCAUCCGAAGUAAAUGGGUGAUGACAUUAUCACAAAGUGGAAAUGUGAAGGUGUCACAUUUUCGUUUCGUUUCUUGUGCUCAGAAAUGGCCCGGUUGCCCUAAGAAAUUAAUGGAGAGGGAGUGGCAGGCCCUGAAGAGGAUGGCAGUCACAAACUGUCUGAAACUGGUGGACAUCCUCCACAUGGGGUUCGGAAGUGCUACAGGGAUAUCUGUUUCAGUCCAUACGAUCAGAACAGAACUUCAUGC